This 247-nucleotide ribosomal RNA is filed under the name uncultured bacterium. RNAcentral describes it as "partial 16S ribosomal RNA". It matches the Rfam family "Bacterial small subunit ribosomal RNA", at positions 126 to 389 of the family's 1533-position model. The record is from RNAcentral.
CUGCCUCACACUGGGGGAUAACAGUUAGAAAUAGCUGCUAAUACCGCAUAAGUCCGCAUGGAAAAAACUCCGGUGGUGUGAGAUGGACCCGCGUCUGAUUAGCCAGUUGGCGGGGUAACGGCCCACCAAAGCGACGAUCAGUAGCCGGCCUGAGAGGGUGAACGGCCACAUUGGGACUGAGACACGGCCCAAACUCCUACGGGAGGCAGCAGUGGGGAAUAUUGCACAAUGGGGGAAACCCUGAUGC